This 440-nucleotide ribosomal RNA is filed under the name uncultured bacterium. Its description in RNAcentral is "bacterial SSU rRNA". It matches the Rfam family "Bacterial small subunit ribosomal RNA", at positions 338 to 795 of the family's 1533-position model. The record is from RNAcentral.
CCUACGGGGUGCACCAGUGGGGAAUCUUAGACAAUGGGGGCAACCCUGAUCUAGCCAUGCCGCGUGAGUGAUGAAGGCCUUAGGGUUGUAAAGCUCUUUCAGCUGGGAAGAUAAUGACGGUGCCAGCAGAAGAAGCCCCGGCUAACUCCGUGCCAGCAGCCGCGGUAAUACGGAGGGGGCUAGCGUUGUUCGGAAUUACUGGGCGUAAAGCGCACGUAGGCGGACCAGAAAGUUGGGGGUGAAAUCCCGGGGCUCAACCCCGGAACUGCCUUCAGAACUAUUGGUCUGGAGUUCGAGAGAGGUGAGUGGAAUACCGAGUGUAGAGGUGAAAUUCGUAGAUAUUCGGUGGAACACCAGUGGCGAAGGCGGCUCACUGGCUCGAUACUGACGCUGAGGUGCGAAAGCGUGGGGAGCAAACAGGAUUAGAUACCCCAGUAGUC